This 354-nucleotide ribosomal RNA is filed under the name Triticum aestivum (bread wheat). RNAcentral's name for it is "partial small subunit ribosomal RNA". The record is from RNAcentral. Lineage: Eukaryota; Viridiplantae; Streptophyta; Magnoliopsida; Poales; Poaceae.
AUGGACGACAUCAUCGCGACAGGAUCGACCGCGGCCGCCGCCUCUCCCGGGUUCGCCACCCAGGACGAGGUAGUGGAUCUCAGCGGCGACAUGGAGGCCGAGCUCGGCUACGUCUACGGCGAGGACGCGCAGGAACCCGAGGAGGAGGAGGAGGAGCCGGCUCCUGUUCCGACGAAGGGGCGCCAGAAGAAAAAGAAGAGGGCGGCCAGGUCAGGCGAACCGCGCAUCAAGUGGACGUCCAAGGAGGAGGAAUGCCUCGUCGAAGCAUGGAAAGUCGUCUACCUCGACCCGACCACCGGCGCGAACCAGAGCUUGAAGACGUACUGGGACCGCAUCAAGGCCGAGUUCGACUAG